This 430-nucleotide ribosomal RNA is filed under the name Acidobacteriota bacterium. Its description in RNAcentral is "Acidobacteria bacterium partial 16S ribosomal RNA". It matches the Rfam family "Bacterial small subunit ribosomal RNA", at positions 355 to 776 of the family's 1533-position model. Lineage: Bacteria; Pseudomonadati; Acidobacteriota. The record is from RNAcentral.
UGGGGAAUAUUGGACAAUGGGCGCAAGCCUGAUCCAGCCAUGCCGCGUGUGUGAAGAAGGCCUUUUGGUUGUAAAGCACUUUAAGCGAGGAGGAGGCUACUUGGAUUAAUACUCUAGGAUAGUGGACGUUACUCGCAGAAUAAGCACCGGCUAACUCUGUGCCAGCAGCCGCUGUAAUACAGAGGGUGCGAGCGUUAAUCGGAUUUACUGGGCGUAAAGCGUGCGUAGGCGGCUUCUUAAGUCGGAUGUGAAAUCCCUGAGCUUAACUUAGGAAUUGCAUUCGAUACUGGGAAGCUAGAGUAUGGGAGAGGAUGGUAGAAUUCCAGUUGUAGCGGUGAAAUGCGUAGAGAUCUGGAGGAAUACCGAUGGCGAAGGCAGCCAUCUGGCCUAAUACUGACGCUGAGGUACGAAAGCAUGGGGAGCAAACAGG